Molecule: ribosomal RNA, 433 nt
Filed under: uncultured bacterium
Lineage: Bacteria
Description: bacterial SSU rRNA
Rfam family: Bacterial small subunit ribosomal RNA
Source: RNAcentral
AGAGUUUGAUCAUGGCUCAGAUUGAACGCUGGCGGCAGGCCUAACACAUGCAAGUCGAACGGUAACAGGAAGCAGCUUGCUGCUUUGCUGACGAGUGGCGGACGGGUGAGUAAUGUCUGGGAAACUGCCUGAUGGAGGGGGAUAACUACUGGAAACGGUAGCUAAUACCGCAUAACGUCGCAAGACCAAAGAGGGGGACCUUCGGGCCUCUUGCCAUCGGAUGUGCCCAGAUGGGAUUAGCUAGUAGGUGGGGUAACGGCUCACCUAGGCGACGAUCCCUAGCUGGUCUGAGAGGAUGAGCAGCCACACUGGAACUGAGACACGGUCCAGACUCCUACGGGAGGCAGCAGUGGGGAAUAUUGCACAAUGGGCGCAAGCCUGAUGCAGCCAUGCCGCGUGUAUGAAGAAGGCCUUCGGGUUGUAAAGUACUUUC